AUUAGAGAUAAGAGUCGCUUGCUUAGGGGUCAAGUAAGCCUUGCUUGGGAGUCAAGUAAACCUCUCUAUAUAAAGAGAGGAGAUGUAUCAAUCUAAUCAAGCAAGAAUUAAGAAGGAAAUCCCUUCCCUCUUGCCCGGCCGUGGGCAAAAAGGCCCCUGGCCGGCCCUCUCGCGCCCUCCUUCUAGCAGCGCCAUAACCAGUUGUUUAGUUAAUAAACCUAGUGCAGCAUGAUUCGUCUUGUACAUGCUCCACUUCUCAUCUAGAAUGGCAUGCUGAUCUAAACACAGCCAGCCAGCUUUGAGAAAACUGUUUCGAAGAUGAUCUGUCAUGUCUUUCUGAACUUUGGUGAAAUUCUUAAACUAAUUAGAAUUUAGAAGUAUCAUUUACAUGUCUUUAGCCUGAAACCAUUAUAUUUAUAUAUAACUGUCCAUGCCGCCGAGGAGUAGUUAGGGCCCCGUCGUGUAGCUUAUUAGUUAUAUAAUAUCUGAGAGAGAGAGAAAAGAGAGAGGGGUGGAUGGAUCCUGUAUAUAUCUUUGGAGUCCAAACUGGUAGUAAUCUGUAGUUUCGAUUGAUCUUGAAUCAUUGCUAAAUUGAAGCUGAAAAACUUGAUCGAAUAGCCAAUUCCAAUCUCCAUUUUGUGUAUCUUUCGUUUGGAUGUCUUGUUAUGUUGAUCCUUUUGCUUGUUCUUGAUCUUGAUGCCCAUGUGAACAACGAUCUUCUCUUGCUGCAAUGUUUCAGUAUUUUUUUUUGAAACGAAUGUUUCAGGCAGUUUCACUUGAUUAGCCGUUCUUGAGGGACAAUCUUGGAAUUGCUUGAUUUAGCAGGGUGCGAAUCGUGAAAAUUUUGUGUUAGCGAGUGAUCUGAUUUGGGGGAAGGGGAUCAGAGAGGUCUACCAAUUUAGGGAAUAUUUCUAGGGUCGUAGCAUAGGAGAUGCUCAAUUGGGCAAGCAAGGCUGAGCUACAUGCUAGGGUUCCUCUGGGCAAGCUGCUGGAUCGGGCCGCCACUUUCUCCUCAGGCUCCAAGUUGUUCGUCCGAGGUAUGAUUCGUACAUUUCAUUCUCCUCUGGUGUUCAGUUCCUAGUCAAUUCGUUUGGUGCUUGGACCCCAAUCUCUCCUAUGUUGAGAUCUGAUGCCAAUUUGAGAAUCUGCUUAGGAACAGGGGAUUCAUGCUUGGAACAACCCUGUUAGUUAACACUGAGCACAUCCUGCUUAUUUGCGAAAGAUAAAGGACAUUGAGCUAUCUGAGAAAUGUGCUGACUUAAGAAUAUGGUUGAGGAUGUUCUGAUGCCCUGCUGUUUCUUCCACUGAGUUUUUCAGGUCUGUCCUACAACUCGAAUGAAGUUGCUCUCAAGGACGCCUUCUCUCAGCAUGGCAAUGUUAUCCAAGUGAAAGUAAUAUGCCAUCCUGUCACGGGGAGAUCCAAAGGAUACGUCUUGGUCAAGUUCUCUUCAGAAACUGAAGCAGCCGCGGCGUUGGAGAGGAUGAGUGACGAGGUGCUUGAUGGAAAGAAAAUACGGGUGGAUUAUGCAAACAGCGAACAAUCUGCUGCUGCUGCUGCUGCAGAUGAGUAAGGUCUUCUCCUAAGCAUGAGACCUUUAUCCGAGGGACACAUACUGGGCUCCAUUUGGCAUAAGCAUUGUUUCGCAAAGGGAACCAUGAACCAUCUGUAGUUGCCCCCAAAGGUCACGGUGCUGUAUAACUUCACUGUAAGAACUAAAGGAGCAGCAGGAGACUCCUAAUUCUAUAUUUUAACAAAAUAAGAUAUGUAACUAUCAGUGUACUCUACAAGUGGUAGAAGACAGAAUCUAAAUUGCAAUAAAGUUGGCAGAAGUGGUCAGGGAAUUAGCAAGCUCCCGAGUGACCCUCAACUUCAGAAUUUCAAUAUCUGCCUUGAACAUUCUAAUCCAGUCCCUAAUAUCAGCAGGGAUGGCAUGAAAAAAAGCACAUGUUUCUGUUU
Molecule: RNA transcript, 1957 nt
Organism: Triticum aestivum (bread wheat)
Lineage: Eukaryota; Viridiplantae; Streptophyta; Magnoliopsida; Poales; Poaceae
Gene name: glycine-rich RNA-binding protein 2, mitochondrial
Exons: 5
Source: RefSeq, a predicted model, not a curated record